RNAcentral lists this ribosomal RNA (497 nucleotides) under uncultured bacterium. RNAcentral's name for it is "partial 16S ribosomal RNA". It matches the Rfam family "Bacterial small subunit ribosomal RNA", at positions 28 to 507 of the family's 1533-position model. The record is from RNAcentral.
GAUGAACGCUGGCGGCGUGCCUAAUACAUGCAAGUCGAGCGAACAGACGAGGAGCUUGCUCCUCUGACGUUAGCGGCGGACGGGUGAGUAACACGUGGAUAACCUACCUAUAAGACUGGGAUAACAUCGGGAAACCGGAGCUAAUACCGGAUAAUAUAUUGAACCGCAUGGUUCAAUAGUGAAAGACGGUUUUGCUGUCACUUAUAGAUGGAUCCGCGCCGCAUUAGCUAGUUGGUAAGGUAACGGCUUACCAAGGCAACGAUGCGUAGCCGACCUGAGAGGGUGAUCGGCCACCCUGGAACUGAGACACGGUCCAGACUCCUACGGGAGGCAGCAGUAGGGAAUCUUCCGCAAUGGGCGAAAGCCUGACGGAGCAACGCCGCGUGAGUGAUGAAGGUCUUCGGAUCGUAAAACUCUGUUAUUAGGGAAGAACAAAUGUGUAAGUAACUAUGCACGUCUUGACGGUACCUAAUCAGAAAGCCACGGCUAACUACGUG